CCUACGGGUGGCAGCAGUGAGGAAUAUUGGUCAAUGGGCGCGAGUCUGAACCAGCCAUGCCGCGUGCGGGAUGACGGCUCUAUGGAUUGUAAACUUCUUUUAUACGGGGAUAAACUGCGAUACGCGUCUCUUUCUGUAUGUAUCGUACGAAUAAGGAUCGGCUAACUCCGUGCCAGCAGCCGCGGUAAUACGGAGGAUCCGAGCGUUAUCCGGAUUUAUUGGGUUUAAAGGGUGCGUAGGCGGUCUUAUAAGUUAGCGGUGAAAGCCUGAGGCUCAACCUUGGAAUUGCCUUUGAUACUGGUGGGCUAGAGAGUAGUUGCGGCAGGCGGAAUGCGUGGUGUAGCGGUGAAAUGCUUAGAGAUCACACAGAACACCGAUUGCGAAGGCAGCCUACCAAGCCAUGUCUGACGCUGAGGCACGAAAGCGUGGGGAGCAAACAGGAUUAGAUACCCGGGUAGUC
This 460-nucleotide ribosomal RNA is filed under the name uncultured bacterium. RNAcentral describes it as "partial 16S ribosomal RNA". It matches the Rfam family "Bacterial small subunit ribosomal RNA", at positions 338 to 795 of the family's 1533-position model. The record is from RNAcentral.